RNAcentral lists this ribosomal RNA (603 nucleotides) under uncultured bacterium. Its description in RNAcentral is "bacterial SSU rRNA". It matches the Rfam family "Bacterial small subunit ribosomal RNA", at positions 338 to 1414 of the family's 1533-position model. The record is from RNAcentral.
CCUACGGGAGGCAGCAGUGGGGAAUCUUGCGCAAUGGGCGAAAGCCUGACGCAGCAACGCCGCGUGCGGGAAGAAGGCUUUCGGGCUGUAAACCGCUUUCAGCAGGAACGAAAAUGACGGUACCUGCAGAAGAAGGAGCGGCCAACUAUGUGCCAGCAGCCGCGGUGAUACAUAGGCUUCAAGCGUUGUCCGGAUUUAUUGGGCGUAAAGAGUUCGUAGGCGGUCAAGUAAGUCGGGUGUGAAAAUUCUGGGCUCAACCCAGAGACGCCACCCGAUACUGCUUAACUUGAGUUCGAUAGGGGAGUGGGGAAUUCCUAGUGUAGCGGUGAAAUGCGCAGAUAUUAGGAGGAACACCGGUGGCGAAGGCGCCACUCUGGAUCGAUACUGACGCUGAGGAACGAAAGCAUGGGUAGCAAACAGGAUUAGAUACCCUGGUAGUCCAUGCCGUAAACGGUGGGCACUAGGUGUGGGUUUCUAUUAACGAAAUCCGCGCCGUCGCUAACGCAUUAAGUGCCCCGCCUGGGGGAGGUACGGUCGCGAGACUAAACUUAAAUAGAAUAGACGGCGUGAGACGUGCCGAACGGACGACGACGAGGGAGUAGG